UACGUAGGGUCCGAGCGUUGUCCGGAGUUACUGGGCGUAAAGGGCGCGCAGGUGGCGGUGCUGGCCCGGCGUGAAAGCCCCCGGCUCAACCGGGGAGGGUCGUCGGGGACCGCACCGCUUGAGGGCGGUAGGGGCUGGUGGAAUGCCUGGUGUAGUGGUGAAAUGCGUAGAGAUCAGGCGGAACACCCGUGGCGAAGGCGGCAUCCUGGACCGGUAUUGACGCUGAGGAGCGAAAGCCAGGGGAGCAAACGGG
Molecule: ribosomal RNA, 253 nt
Filed under: uncultured bacterium
Lineage: Bacteria
Description: partial 16S ribosomal RNA
Rfam family: Bacterial small subunit ribosomal RNA
Source: RNAcentral